This 502-nucleotide ribosomal RNA is filed under the name Gymnangium allmani. Its description in RNAcentral is "partial 16S ribosomal RNA". It matches the Rfam family "Bacterial large subunit ribosomal RNA", at positions 1861 to 2549 of the family's 2925-position model. Lineage: Eukaryota; Metazoa; Cnidaria; Hydrozoa; Leptothecata; Aglaopheniidae. The record is from RNAcentral.
GCCCAAUGGUUAAAAAAAAAUUAAUAACUAUAAUUAAAAAAAAACUAAAUGGCUGCAGUAACUAUGACUGUAAUAAUGUAGCGCAAUCAAUUGUCACUUAAUUAGUGGAUAGUAUGAAUGGCUGAACGAAAAUCUCACUGUCUUGUGGUAUAAAUUUCAGAAAUUAAAAUAACAGUUAAGAUGCUGUUUAAAAUUGUAAGACGAAAAGACCCUAUAAAGCUUAACUAUAAAUCUUAAAUAUAAUUUAAGAAGAGGUAGUUUCAUUGGGGCGAUGGUUUUUAAAAAAAAACAAAAACAAAACAAAAAUAAUUUUCACCAAAAAAUUACUGUAUAACCCAUAAGUUUAACAGUUACAAAGUAGGUUAAAUAGGACCCAUUAACUCAAAGGAAUAAGUUAAUGAAUAAUAAAUAAAAGCUACUUUAGGGAUAACAGGAUAAUUUUAUCAAGAAGACCAAAUUCGAAAUAAAGUUUAUUACCUCGAUGUUGAAUUGAGAUAUCCCA